RNAcentral lists this ribosomal RNA (286 nucleotides) under uncultured bacterium. Its description in RNAcentral is "partial 16S ribosomal RNA". It matches the Rfam family "Bacterial small subunit ribosomal RNA", at positions 773 to 1060 of the family's 1533-position model. The record is from RNAcentral.
GUGGAUUAGAUACCCUGGUAGUCCAGACCGUAAACGGUGGGCACUAGUUGUGGGAACCUUCCACGGUUUCUGCGACGCAGCUAACGCAUUAAGUGCCCCGCCUGGGGAGUACGAUCGCAAGAUUAAAACUCAAAGGAAUUGACGGGGCCCCGCACAAGCAGCGGAGCAUGCGGCUUAAUUCGACGCAACGCGAAGAACCUUACCAAGGCUUGACAUAUACAGGAAUAUGGCAGAGAUGUCAUAGCCGCAAGGUCUGUAUACAGGUGGUGCACGGUUGUCGUCAGCU